Long non-coding RNA from Sapajus apella (tufted capuchin), 6805 nucleotides. RefSeq lists it as uncharacterized. The transcript has 6 exons. Lineage: Eukaryota; Metazoa; Chordata; Mammalia; Primates; Cebidae. The record is from RefSeq and is a predicted model, not a curated record.
AAUAAAAAUAAAAUAUAAACUUAGGUAAUAAAAGUUUUUUUAAUAAGAUGAGAUAAUGCCAAUUAUGCCAAAAGAUAAAGAUUGCUUUACAAUUACAACUAGGUAGGAAUGUGUACAUUAAAAUAAAGAAAGAAAAAAAAGGAAGGAAGAAAGAAACGGAAUGAAGGAUGAAAAGCAGGCAGGCUGGAAAACAUCUCUUCUAACCAGUUUUCUUUGGCCAGUAGAAUUUGGGGCAAAUAUUUUCAACUCUCAUGAACUUUUAUACUUUCUAAUAUAUUAUUAAUUUUAUACUUAGAAAAACAAGAAAGAAUUUUAUUUUUUAAAUGUAAAAUUGAACUUAACGAAGUAAUCAGCAUCUUUCUGCCAUAUUUUAUUUUAUUCACUUCUCUGCUAUAUCAAGUCUCCAUUUUUAGGCCUAACAUCAAGUUUCUGGGCUCAACCAAGCCACCACUUUAGGGAAAUUUACAUAAAAUUUCUCUACUGAAUUUAUUAUUUCAAUCAGUGACAACAAGACUUUCUAGAAUCCUCCUGUGACUCUAGCAGGGAGCUGAGCAGGAUUAGACCUUGCUCAUCUCCACUCAGCAUUCCAUCUCUGUCUCCAGAGGGGAUGGAAAGCUGCUAUGAGAUCUUGGCACCACUUGCAGACUCUUGUUGUAGUGAAUUUGCUUUUUGGCUUGAACUCCCCUCACAUAUGCUUUCCCUUUCCGCUUUCAAGCAGAGGGCUCCUUGCCUGCACCAGUCUGGAUGUCAGCAGGUGGCCUGCUGGCCUCAAAAGCUUUCUGCAUGAAUUACUGUGUGUGGUUUCUGCACAUUGAAACUUGGCACCCACACAUACACAUACCUCCCUUGCUCCUUUCCCCUCUCCCUGCCCCACUCUGUAUCCAUAGAAGCCAUCCAGAUUUUUGGCUUGAAUAUUGGGCCAAAGCAAGACUUUCCUCAAAGAAUCACCUAGUUUCUGUUUGUUAAGAUACCGUACCUCAUUCCCCUUUCCAGACAAACCAUGCGUUCCCAUCACUUUCCAGCUUGUAGGCUCUCCUUCUCCAUUACAAACUCCAUAUAACCACCAGAAAAAGUGGAUCUGGUCACUCAAUGUCUCUAGAAUCUUCUGUAGCUCCCCUUACAUUCAGAAUUAUGUAUGUAUUUCUUAGGUGGUGAACAAGGUCCUUCAUGAUAGGAUCCCAACUUAUCUACUCAGCCCUCAUCUUUACCACAUAUUUCCCACUUUUUUUCUGUGGCAUAACAUGAGGUUUCUGGACUUUACCUGCUUUCUCACCCAUCUCUGCUUUUCCAUAUGCUGUUCCUUUUGCCUUUGCACUUUUUCCCCUGGCCAAUGCCUCCUUAUCCUUCAAAAGUUCAUUUGAGUGUCAUUUCCACUGGAAAGCCUAUCCUGACUCCACCACCUUCCCCUGUACCCCAAUCCAACUUAAGAUACUCUUGUGCAUUACUCCUACAAAUGAGGAAUAGUAUUUGCCAGUAAUCUCCGUCCUUCACUGGAUUCCAAUGUCCUUGCAGGCAGAGUCAGGGCCUUUUUGUGGUUUUAUUCUAGCACCUAGCCUAGGUUUCAGUAAAUAGCAAGCACUCAAAAAUGUAUCCAGCAAUUCUGCUCAUGGGUAUAAUCCCAAUAUUUGCAAGACAUGUUCAAGAAUGCUUACAAAAGCAUUACUUGAAUUAAUCCCAAACAGAACAUAAUCUAAAUGUCUAAUGUAGAAUGGAUAGUAAAUCAUGUCACUUUAAAUAAAUCCUAUACAACAAUGAGACUGAAUGAAUUACAACUACAUGCAACAACAUGAAUGAAUCUCACAAACAUAAUGUUGAGUGAAAGAAGCCAGACAUAAAAGAGUCAGUGAUGUACAAUUCCAUUCAUACAAGCUCAAAAGCAGGCAAAAGUUGCAUUCAUGGUAUUAGAAAUCAUGACAGUAGUUACCUUGAAGAUAUAGAGUAACUGAUGGGGGCAACUGGGAGCCCAGUAAUGUUCUGUUUCUUGAUCUGGGUGCUGAAUACAUGGACAUUGUUACACUGUAAAAAUUCAUCAAGUUGUAUAUUUAUGAUUUAUGCAUAUGUCUGUAUUUUAUACUUUCAUAAAAAUUUUAAUUGAGAAAAGUUCCCUUUGUGAAACAUAUUUCUCUGUGGCGUUUAGGAUAGUGAUGUAAAUGGAGAGUGUAAGUUUGACUCAAGUCCAUUGCCAGCUUGGCUGAUGCUCUUUUCCCCACUCAGAAUGGUGCUGCAUGGUACAAGAGAAAAGUAAGAGAAAAUCCAUUUUCCUAGACAAAGUUUAGCAUUUGCUUUAAGGAAUGUGAUGGUCAUGGCAGGGAUGGAGUCAGCAAACCAUCAUGGCAUGUAGGUACCUAUACAACAAUCCUGCAGGAUGCAGGAUGUGCACAUGUACCCCAGAGCCCAAAGUACAAUAGGAAAAAAUUAAAAGGAAAAGAAAAGAAAGAAAUGAGAUGGUCAAUUGUGUCAGCAGGUGUUCUUUGCAUAGUUUGACUUCUCAGCUUGAAUUUCAGAAAGUGCAAAUGAUUUUGGAAUAAGUCAGAGUAUAAACAAACAAAUUAGAAUUGGAAUUUUCUUCUUUUCUUGUUAUCUCCAUCCAUCAGCUCUUAAGGCUUCUGUCUUCAAUGGGAAUAGGCUUAUUGGCUUGCACACAUCAAUCAAAUUUGUCACAGACCUCAUUGAUUCACAUUUCACCACUGCAGUUUAAAAUUGGUUUUCCUCUUCUUGCUACAAGAAUUGUCCUUAAUUAUCAAAAUUAAUGACUUUGAGCUGGUGAAGUUUUUUUUGCUUCAAAUUUUAAGAAGCCUAUAAAUAUCAGACUAUGGGAUAUUAAAAAAAUACAUUUUCCCUCUUUAAACAAACAGAUAAAUGUGGAGAAGGAGCCUGGAACUCUUGUCUCUGAGAUGGCGUCAGUCAUCUUGGCGGCUGCCUUCUGCAGCCUGCGCACUGGAGCCAGUCCAGCCAUAGCUGCCAUAACUCGCCGGAUUUCUCUCUCACAUUCCGUAAUAAAGGACUUUCAAUGUCUGCACAGAUGGGAAUUCUGCUGCCACCUUCUCAUUUCACAUUUCCUGCACUUUCUUUCCAAAGCACUCGCCUGCCUGAAAUAGAAUCAUAGUUUUUUUCAGUCUACGUGUAGGAAUUUAGUGGGAGAAUGGACAGGGUAUCUGUAGCUCCCUAUAAUUACCACACCAUGAAGUAAUGAUUUCCUGUUGACUAUAAGGCACUUAAAGGAGGCAGAAAUGUGAUCAGAGGUUUUACAGAGAACUGCACACGAUUUUCUUUCUGGAGAUGGCUGGAAAGGGCCCAUGAAGAGGCAGGAUGUCAGUGUUGACCCCGUGAGCCUUUAGGAAAGAGGAGGCAGCAGUCUUUUCCUGGCCUGCCACCUACUAGACCCCUCAUGAAUCCCCUGCCGUCAUGAGGUCUCUUCCCAAAGGGAUAUCCCCUCAUCCUCUGCCUUUUUAAACUGGAUUCCCACAAGGAUCAAUGUCCGUGUUUCUCUCUGCCUAGUUGAAUUUUCCCUAUCCUUCAAGACUGUCUCAGAUCAUACCUCUUCUGGGAAACCUUCCUGAAUAGCUUGAGCUGGAAGUAAUUUCCCCUAUGUCUGAACACAGAGCCCCUAAUGAUUGCACAUUCUUGUGUUGCCCACACACAAAGAUAAUAUGCAGUAAUAAAAGCUAAUGAAACAAAUGACAUUAACUGAGCACUUACGUGCCAGGCACUAUCUUUUCACUUUACAUGUAUGAAGCCAGAAUUCUUACAGUGACUUUAUGGGGUAGGUUAUAUUAUUAUUCCCAUUUUACAGAUGAGGAUCCUGAGACAUAUCGUGAUAUGAUACCUAAUCAGAUCAGAAGCUCCACUUACCAUCUCUUUGACUUAUUGAUUUGUCUCUUUCACCGCACAAAGCUCAGGGCCUUGCAAUCAGUAAUUGCUUGGCUAAUAUUUGUCUAUUAAUGUGCUCAAUGGAACUUGAGACCAUGAAAGUAGAAUUUGAAAAACAUUUCUGAUGGUCAGAUAUGCUACUUUUCAUCUUCUGUCAACAGGGAAAGACUGUGAAAUGAAAUGGCUGGGGUUGAUAAAAAUCACCAUAACAAAAACAAAUCCUUAGUUAAUAUGCACUGUAUGCCAGAUGCUGUGGUAAGUGAUGUGUGUUCAUUACAUUUCUUAAUCUCAGGUUUUCCCCCACUAAAGGAUCAGAGAGAGAUUGAAAAAUGCUUGCAAUGAGAUCAAAUAAAGAUGAAGGCAAAGGGAAUACAAAUGUUUUAAGUUAGAAAAAUCCUAAGUUUAGUUAUUACCCCAAAAUGAAUGUUCUAAGGAUCCUCCUUUGGUAGUGAGACACAAGUUUGACUCUAAGUUUUCUAGUGUUUAUGGCAAAAGCAGACGCACAAUCAAUUAUAGUACCUACACACUAAGAUAAAGACAAACCAGCUAUUUGAAGGUAGCACUCAUAAAUGUUUAAUCAAACCAUUUCUUCUUACAAUUCUCAACAUAGACCAUUCUCAUCUUGCAGAAGAGCAGAAUGGUAAAAUCCAUUCUAGGAGGAGGCAGAUUAUUGGGCUUCAGUAUGCAGUUGAGUUCGGCUUAAUGUACGAUAUCUAAGAGCUGGAUGGACUGUACAUGUUUCAGAAAAAUUCUCUAUGAAUAUUAUUUCUCAUAACCACUGUGUCAUACUAUCUGUGCCAGACAAUUAUCCUUCCCCUUUCAACUAAAAGCUGCAUAGGUAUUUUGGUAUAACUCUUAUUAACACCUUUAGAAUUAGCAUGCCAGGAAUAAUGUUUGGAAAACCUAGUCCUGUAGGCAAUAUGGAACUUUAAAAACUGACUUUUCCGUGGGGUAAAUGAAAUCCAAACUCCCUUGUAUUAUUUAUGGUACUUUCCACAACCUGAUCUCAACCUGCUUUCUAGACUGAAUUUAUUGUCCUCCUGUUAGCACCUUCGUGCUUCCUUCAAACCAGUCUCAUGAAAACACUCAGUGCUUUUACUCAUUGAAACCUCAUAGACACUUCCUAGAAACCUCUCUUCUCUUUCCCUUCUCCCCUGUUUCUCCACCUAGUGGGUCUUGAAGGAUGUCGCCUUUCCUGCAAACCCCGAUUCCAUCUAACAAUUAAUUUUACCCUUUACUAGAGUCCUACGGCAUCUUGCUAAUAUCACAUUUUAUUAUCCUCCUUUGUUAGCAUCUCUGAUUUUUCUGCCAAACUGUGAGCUCCUCCAGGGUAGAAUGUGUUUUAUUUACCUUUGUAUCUCAGCACUGGGCACAUAGUCUGACCUGGACUCAUUUCACCAAGUAUUUAUUGUUUCCUGCACUGACAAAGCGAGCUGGGACAAUUCUUAUUCUAAGAUGCUGCAUUAAAAACAAAUGUUACUCCACAGGUGACCCACGUAUGUUUCUAUUAUUCUCUGAAGCCGUUUGGUGCUAUGCAGAUUGAUUAAUCCAUAUUAUUUGGUAUAAAAAGGAUAAUGUAGUAAAUGAGUUGAACUACACAUGGAAUGCACUAAACUCUUUUUUUCUCAGUAUUUUCCAGAUUUGAAAAGCUCCAAAGGAAGCUAUACCUGUAUGUUGCCAUUUAUUUCAAGUUUUUUCUCUUUUUGUGUAACAUCUGUCAUGCCAAAGAAUUUUGCUUGUGUUUGGUAUGCGGAUGAAUCACUUCAGCCACCAAUAAAAUGUACAGCCCUUACAAGUAAAACAGAGCAACUAUCCCAGAAGACCUUGACAAUAUUACAGCAGAGCUAAGAGCCACCUGGAACAUCAAAUCAAGAAGCAUCCUUGAAAGGCUCAGAUUUUGAAUUGCAAAGUGAUACCCAAAACAUCUAGCUAUUAUUCAUAGAGCUGGGCAAGAAGAAAUAAAACAAGUGGUGGAUUUUUAAAAGAGAAUUUUGGCUUGCAUCUUUUAUACAUGAGGUGGAUUAUUCUCAAGGAGACAGAAAAAGAAAACUACUUUCUCCGUUCUGGAAGUAUCUGGAUUCAGAUUACAUACAGAUAAGACGAUGCAAAAUCUGAGACUCUCCCUUCGUGGACCACAGGAGCAUCUAAACAAAUCAAGAUCCAGACAAGCCAGUACAUCUUUCUCACUCUCUGUGAGCCAGGUCUGGAAGAAACCUGGUUGUUGGGUCAGGAGGAAUGAAGCAAGCACUGAGUGAAGACCUUGGUUCUGGAGUCAGAGCUUUCAGAGUUAAGUCCUGCCAUGUGAUUUACCAGCCAUGUGACCUCGGACUGUGACUAAGGCAUCACGGGGGUUUGUACACUGUGUGCAGGAAAAGUAACCAAGAAAGAUCAGCCCUAUGAGAUCAUCAGGAAUGACCUAAUGCUCCUCGUUGGACAGACAAGAAAACCCACACUCAGCAAGGUUAUAGGAUCCAGUUUUUUAGGUGGUAGCAACACGCUUAAGGAAGAUGCAGCCCUUCCUCCAGCCUGAGAGAAUGAAGCAUCAUUGGCUUAUAUCAACCAUAGCAAUCCCAUUUCCCUUUUCUCAUGAUUUAUCUGGGAAUGGGCAAGUGACCCAGUCCUGACCAAUGAGACCAAAGAAACAGUCUAUUGGUCAGCUCAUCUCAGAAGAUUUUUGUUUCCUGCUAUGAAGAGAAGCAGUAAGUUUCUUCCUGCCUGACUUAAAUGCAAUUGUGUGCAAACAUGUUACUUGGAGCUACAGCAAUCAUUUCCUGACGGUGAGGCAAUAAACCAAGGACAAAGGAUAGAAUAGUGAAAAGACAGAGUAUUGGGUUUUUGAUGAUAUCAUUCAACUGCUGGACCAAUCUGGAACCACCUGCUUUCAGUCUUUCAUGAUUUGUGAGAUUAUCAAAAAUUGCUAUUGUUUUAGCUGCUA